RNAcentral lists this long non-coding RNA (7530 nucleotides) under Lactuca sativa (garden lettuce). RNAcentral's name for it is "long non-coding RNA (LSAT_LNC002482)". Lineage: Eukaryota; Viridiplantae; Streptophyta; Magnoliopsida; Asterales; Asteraceae. The record is from RNAcentral.
AAAUUGUUCCCCAUGUAUGCUAGAUAGGAAUAUAACCUUGGAAUUCAACUUUGCAUGAUAAUUAGACAAACAUAGAUCCAAGGUUAUUAGGGUUGCAUGUACACUUAGGAAGUGUUAGAAUGCUCAAAACCCAUCAGUGGUAUCAGAGCCUAGGCUUGUUUGUUUGUUAUUUGUGCUUAAAAGUUGAAGAAAGUCGAAAAUUCUGCUGUCUGACUGAUGGACUCGGCGAGUCCAUGGGGAGGACUCGUCGAGUUCAUGUGUAUCUUCAACCUACUCGGCGAGUAGGUUUAUGCACUCGGCGAGUAGGGUCGACAGAGUGCAGAAUUUCGACUUGAGUUGCUGGAAAUGGAUUAGAAUCAUUACCCUAAAAUGUUUUGGUACUUGAAAACUUAUUUUAGAAGGUGUAAUGUCUUUUCUAACUCAUUUACAACAACUAGUUAUCAAAAUUACAAAGAUUAAAUGUGAUUUUGAUUCUUGAAAGUGUUCAUAUUCAUAUUCUUGUUCUUAUGAUGUUUAGAUGAUCAUAGGAAUUAUUUGUAACCUAUGUGGUAGAUUAAUUCAUGAUCAUAAUGUGUUUUAAUGGAGUCCAUAACUUGUCCUCAAGUUAUGGAAAACCAAAAGUCUCUUGGAUUAAAAACCAUUAAAAGAACACAAGAGUUAGGAAAAAUGAAAAGUCCUCAUUUUAUUACUCUAUUAAACUCAUAAGUUACAAGAAAUGAAAAGUUUUGAAAGUUUACAAAACUUGCCCUCAAGUUUUGGAACAAGUAAAGUUAAGUUAAAACUUUAGUUCCAACCCCUAGAAUUUUAAAAGUUAAAAUUCAACCCUUAUACUUAUAUUAUUAUGAUUUAAUAAUUAUAUAUAUAUGUAUAAGAACAAAGUCGUCUUACCGCUAGUACGCCUCAUUCACGAAGCCGGUCUAUAAGGUGGGUAUAAGGUUGUUGCCUAUAAAAUGGUGACUUAAUGGGUGUCCACUCUCACCCACCGCUUGCUUGAUCGGUGGAGGGUCGUUAGCCGAACGGGUAAGACAAGGACUUAUUAAUUCUCAUUCAAAGUAUGAUGAAUAUUAUAAAGUAACUAAAUGUUUUAUUAAAUUCCCAAUCUUAGUUACUUUAGGAAAAAUGUGAAUAAGGUGCUAUUCCAUGAAAUUACACUUUACACUUUGAUUAAGUCGUUGGUGGAGCGUGUGUGGUUAACCGGCACACUAACUUGGACUUAACAAGGUAGGUAAAGGGUGACUUAGGGUUUAUUAUAGUAUCGAUGGAGCGUGUGUGGUUAACCGGCACAUCGAUUGAGUGAUAAACUUUAAGGGUACCAAGUGAUUUGCAUGGUUACUUCACACCUCGUUUUGUGAUCCUCGGUAUCCCAGUCACAAAACUUGGAGGGCACACUCGAGAUUGAAACAUGCCUUUGAAAAGUUCAUUGAAUCUCAAAGAAUCUAGGAAUUUCUAAGAACCAUUCAAAAACCUAAUACUAAAAUAUUGCGGUUUUCGUGGUGGAAAUUGGUGAAUCGUCAUUCACCUACCUUUCAAAUAUGAUAUAGCUUAGAUUACGGCAUACCUCUUCUAAGUUAUAUUAUAUUGUGAUUGGAUCCUAGCCUUAAUAUUACAUUUGGGUGUUUUAUUAAGGACUCUCUUAUAUCUAAACUAAUCUUGUCCUCUUUCCUUCAGAUGUCUUUCAACAAUGCUUCUGGCUCUAAUCCUAAUGGCUCCUUUACCCUUAUGAACUUGUGUGGGAAAGUCACCUUUGAUGGAUCCAACUUCAAUGAGUGGAUCAGAAACAUCAGGAUGAUUACCCGCUACGAGGACAAAGAAUAUGUCCUUGACAAGGAGCUUAAGGAGAUUGAUGAGUCCACUGCAACUCCUCAGGAGAUCGCUGAAUUUCGGGCACAUGAAAGGGAUGCUACGAAAGUGGCUUGCAUCAUGAUGGCCACGAUGACAGCGGAACUCCAAAAGUCUUAUGAGGAUUUCUACCCUUAUGACAUGCACCAAGAUUUGAUGGAAAGAUACCAUCAAAGUGCAAGACAAGAGAGGUAUGAAAUCAUCUGCUCCAUGAUAACAACCAUGAUGAAGGACGGGGAAUCCGUCACGAGCCACAUGCAGAAAAUGCAAAGGUAUGUGGAUCGUUUGCUGAAGCUUAAUGUGAACUUCCCGGAGGAUCUUGCAAUAGAUAUUAUUUUGCAUUCCUUACCAUCGUGCUAUGAUCAAUUCCGCAUGACAUAUCACAUGAACAAGGAAGAAGUCACCCUCAGCAAACUUCAGGGACUUCUCAAGACCGCAGAAACAGGUCUUAAGGGGAAGUCGGUUGCUAUCACUCCUACUCAAAACUCUACUCCGGUUUUGGCAAUCGGGAAAAGUCGAGGGAGGAAGAGAAAGAGCUCUUCUAAGGGUACCAAGGCUCGGACCCUUGAUGGCUCUUCUUCAAGUGGAACCAAGAAAGGUUUCGUUACUCCUUCUUCUGACCCAAAAGAGGCUGAAUGCUUCUAUUGCCAUGAAAAAGCUCAUUGGAAGCGGAACUGCCCAAAAUACCAGCAAGAUGUGAAGGAUGGGAAAGUUAAACCCAACCAUGCAGGUAUUUACACUAUCAUUUCUAAUAACUCACCCCAUUCUAAUUCUUGGGUCCUUGAUACCGGGUGUGGUAUUCACAUUUGUUGUGACUUGCAGGGACUAAGAAGAAGUGAGGAUGUGGAGCAAGGAAGGAUAAACUUGAUCAUGGGGAAUAGGAAAGCUAUACCUGUUACCAAGAUUGGAGUUUAUACUUUAUCGCUAAGUAGUGGGUUUAGUUUAGAUUUGAAUAAGUGUUGUUAUUCGCCAGGAAUGGCAAGAAAUAUUAUUUCCUUUCAUGCUUUGUACAAACAAGGGUUUACCUUUUCAUUUAAUAAUGAAGUUGGUUCUAUAGAUGUUUUCUAUAAUAAUGUCUUUUAUUUUAAAGCAUUACCUUGUGAUGGUGUGUAUGAAGCUGUAUCUGUUGUAGAUAACUUGGGAAAUAAUGUUUUGUGUAUUGAUUCUACUAAUAAUAACUUGGAUAAAGCAUCUUUAUGGCAUUGUCGUCUUGGACAUAUAAGCAAGAAACGCAUAGGCCAACUCCAAAAGGAUGGAGUCUUGGAGUCGUUUGACCUAAAGUCAGAUGAUAGUUGCGAAUCAUGCUUACUUGGAAAAAUGACAAAGUCACCCUUCACAGGUUCGUGUGAGAGGGGUGAAGGUUUGUUGGACCUUAUACACACGGAUGUGUGUGGACCAUUCAAACAUGCCACAAGGGAUGCUAAUCGUUAUUAUUUGACUUUUACUGAUGAUUAUAGUAGAUAUGGAUAUGUCUACUUGAUCAAGCAUAAGUCAGAGACUUUCGAGAGGUUUAAGGAAUUUAAACAGGAAGUCGAGAAUCAAUUGGGCAGGAACAUUAAGAUGCUUCGAUCCGAUCGUGGUGGUGAGUAUCUUAGUUCAGAGUUCCUCGACUAUCUAAGGGAAUGUGGGAUAGUCUCACAAUUGACACCUCCCAGGACACCACAGUUGAAUGGUGUGGCUGAGAGGCGUAAUCGAACCUUGUUAGAUAUGGUUCGUUCCAUGAUGAGUCGAGCUACGCUACCAAUCUCAUUCUGGGGGUAUGCCUUAGAGACUGCCGCCCAUAUUCUUAAUCUAGUCCCUACAAAGAAAGUUGCCAAAACUCCUCACGAGAUGUGGACUGGUAAAGUACCUAAACUAGACCACAUCAAGAUUUGGGGUUGCGAGGCUUUCGUGAGACGCGAGACUCAUGAUAAGCUCGAACCUCGAAGCGAGAGGUGUAUUUUCAUCGGUUACCCACAGCGAUCCUUUGGUUACCUCUUCUACAGACCUAGUGACAAUGUGGUCUUUGUAGCAAGAAGAGGAGUCUUUCGAGAAAGAGAGUUUAUAAGCCAAGGAGACAGUGGGAGGCAAAUUGAUCUUGAAGAAAUUCAAGAAUCAAGCGGUGAAGGAACUUCAAACUCUAGCCCUCAACUUGAGGAGGAAACUCCUGUUGAGCCAAUUGACAAAUCUGUACCUCUGAGACGUUCCACGAGAGUUAGGAGUGCACCUGAGCAUUACUAUGGAUUCCAUAUUACUGCAGAAGGUGAGACACUUAUUAGUGAUGAGACACUAGUAAGUCAAGAUGACCCUAACAGCUACGAGGAAGCCAUGGCAGGCCCCGAGUCUGCUAAAUGGAAAGAGGCUAUGGAUAGCGAGAUACAAUCCAUGUAUGACAAUCAAGUUUGGAACUUGGUUGAAAAUGUACCAGGUCGUAAGACAGUAGGGUGCAAAUGGGUCUUCAAGAAGAAGACCGACAUGGAUGGUAAAGUACACACUUAUAAGGCUAGACUGGUUGCAAAGGGCUUCUCUCAAAUUCCUGGAGUGGAUUAUGAUGAGACCUUUUCUCCGGUAGCCAAGAUUAAGUCUAUUCGGGUUCUGUUAGCCAUAGCUGCAUUUCAUGACUAUGAAAUAUGGCAGAUGGAUGUCAAAACCGCUUUCCUUAAUGGAAAGUUGGCUGAAGAUGUUUACAUGAGUCAGCCAGAGGGUUUUGUCAGCAACGAGUACCCUAAUAGAGUGUGUAAGCUUGAGAAAUCCAUUUAUGGAUUGAAGCAAGCACCUCGCAGAUGGAAUCUUUGCUUUGAUGAAAAGGUCAAGGAAUUUGGCUUUUCUAGGAGUGAAGAUGAAUCUUGUGUGUAUGUCAAGGCUAGUGGGAGUAUAGUUAGCUUUUUGGUAUUGUAUGUGGAUGACAUACUACUCAUAGGAAACGACAUUCCAACCCUGCAGGAAGUAAAGUCCUGGCUUGGGAAGUGUUUCGCUAUGAAGGACCUUGGUGAAGCUGCCUAUAUUCUAGGGAUAAGAAUCUUGAGAGAUCGGAGUAAAAGACUAAUUGGACUUAGUCAGAGUACCUACUUGGAUAAGGUGCUGAAGAGAUUCAGCAUGCAGGAUUCCAAGAAAGGAGAGUUACCCAUCCAGAGUAACACCAGAUUGAGUAAGACACAAAGCCCUAGCACUGAGGCUGAGAUAGCAGAAAUGAGUCGAACACCUUACGCUUCGGCUGUAGGAUCGAUCAUGUAUGCUAUGACGUGUACUCGACCCGAUGUAGCUUUUGCCUUGAGCAUGGUUAGCAGGUAUCAGGCGAACCCUGGCAAGGCACACUGGACUGCGGUAAAGAAUAUCCUCAAGUACCUACGGAGGACUAAGGACUGGGUCCUUACCCUCGGUGGGAGUGAUGACUUGAGAGUUGUAGGGUAUAGUGAUGCUAGCUUCCAGACUGAUAGGGAUAAUUUCCGCUCUCAGUCGGGCUGGGUCUUUACCCUAAACGGAGGAGCAAUUUCUUGGAAGAGUUCCAAGCAAGAGACAGUGGCAGAUUCUACUUGUGAAUCAGAGUAUAUUGCAGCUAGUGAAGCAGCAAAGGAGGCGAUAUGGCUGAAGAACUUCAUUGGAGACCUUGGAGUUGUACCAGCUAUUAAAGAGCCAAUGGAAAUUUUCUGUGAUAGUGAAAGUGCUGUUGCCUUAGCCAAGGAACCAAGGGAUCAUGGGAGAUCCAGACACAUCGACAGAAAAUACCAUUUCAUUAGACAUCGGAUCGAAGAAGGACUCCUCGUGGCAAAGAGGGUAUCAUCGGAUGAGAACCCAGCAGAUCCCCUCACGAAGGGACUGAGUAGGGUUAAGCAUCUCCAGCAUGCUCGGAGCAUAGGGCUGAAGGAUGAUAUAAGUUUUAGUAGUUAGAUAACCCAGAAAUUUGUAAAGUGUAAUUGACAUUUGAUGAUGAAUAAAAGGUGUUUUAUUUAUGAGUAAAGUGUUGCUAUCUCUUGUCGAUCGUUUACUAUAUUUCUUUUGCAUGUUUUGACUUCCAGAAUAAUUUUGUUUGGUAUAACAUAUUAUUCAAACCUCCACAGUCGGUCAUAUGUUGGAAGUAGAUAUGAAUCAAGACUGUCAUGUUUGGUUGUAGAGGUCUUGGACAAGGCUACAACAAUCAUGAGUGCUCAUAAGUUCUGAGCAUUGGACUCAACCCACGCUCACUGGAAUCACUUCAUGGAAUUCUAUCUCGAGUGAUCGUGAGACGGUAAUAUCAUAUAAGUCUUCAAACCUAGAGAUAUGAUUUGUUACUUACAAGUUGGUUAUGCAUUGACUGUACGAAACCGCAUUGGUAACUCGAUGUUAUAAAACGUACUUUUGUGUGUAAUUCAAUGAGUGGUAGAACAAACAUAUGAGUCGAAGUUUAUCUGUUCCUUCUUGGAUUAGAAGCUGAUAUCUGGGCCCCUCGAUGAUUUUGUUUUGACCCAUGUACCGGGCCCGGUCAGAACUAAGUUGAUGUGUUCAAUUAAGUUCUAUGUCAAACAAAUCGGAAAUCGGGAAACAAAUGCUGGACAAUAAGCAAGACAAUGUUCCAUGUAUUUGUCCGGCUGAUAUCUAGAACGGAGGAUUAUAUGAUCACUUAUCUUAAAUGGCGUACCAUCAUCUUCUCAGUUCCGAGAGACCUUGAAAGAGCUACGAUUGCCGGUCGGUUCCUGAAGUACUAGAGAUAUAGUUAUUAGACUUAUCCAAGUGGGAGACUGUUGGAUAAGGUGUCUAAGUCCAUAACUAUUUCGGGCUUGUACUUGACCCGACCCGGCAUGGUCCAUUUGGGUUGCAUGGCACCAUGCAAUUGGAUAGACUAAAUGAGAGAAAUAACACUUGGAGAUUAUUAAUAUAUUAUAAGUUCUAAUAUAUUAAUAAUAUUAUUUGAUUAGUUGAUCAAAGAAUUAAUUUGGAAUUAAUUAAGUGAUCAAAGGAUAACUAAUUAAAUAUAUGGGUUGAUUAUGUAAAUCAUCCAUAUCUUGUAUAGUGGGCUAAGAGGCUCCAUGGAUUAUCAAGUUGGGUUCUACCCAUAGGAUGCUCCAUGGAUGCUCCAUGGGAGUUACAAACCCAUGGGUCAUGGAAAUGAAGAGUCAUGACACAUUAGGGUUUACAUGGUGUAACCCUAGAUGUGUCAACACUAUAUAAGAAGCAUAUUCUCCACCAACAUCGGCUACACUAAGAAACUAGAGGGCUUGGUCGAUUUUGAGAAGUGUGUGUUAUCUCAAGAGUCUUUCCAAGAGCAUUUGGUGUUGUGUGAAGCAUUUGAGGCAUCACACUUGGGGUGCUAGGCUCACAAGGUUUCAAGGAACACAAGCAACAACAAGGUAAGUUAUUCUAUCUAUGAUUCAAGUUAAAAUUGUUCCCCAUGUAUGCUAGAUAGGAAUAUAACCUUGGAAUUCAACUUUGCAUGAUAAUUAGACAAACAUAGAUCCAAGGUUAUUAGGGUUGCAUGUACACUUAGGAAGUGUUAGAAUGCUCAAAACCCAUCAGGAAGGUGGUGGAUUUCCUGUGGGGCCGUGAGCAGCAGAGGGAGUUUGAGAUCCUCCGACAGUGUUUAUGUGAGGCGCCGGUGUUGACACUCCCCGAGAGAGUGGAGGAUUUUGUGGUAUUCUGUCACACCCCAAAACCGGAACGGCGGAAACGUUCUGGGGUGGAUGACGUCAUGUCAAGUGUCACAACACAUGCAUUAUAGUAAUCAAAGUACAACAAAAC